UGCCUUUAUUUUAACCCAAUCGCCCCCUAUAUAUGAGUUGUUCGCUUGCGAACUAUGGUGAUAAACGCGCGUAAUAACUGGCUCGGACCCGGGGGCAGUACCCGGCGGCUCCACCAACAAUGCUUGCGCUCUUGUUUUGCGAGAGCUUUGCUGAUGGGGCCGAAACAGCAUCGACGGACAGUAAAAAUCGUUAGCUUUUGCCCGGGUGAGGCCCGUUAAAGGCUCAAUUUGAAUAGUUGCUAAUGACAACAAUUCUCAAGAGUUUGCUCUCGCAGCGUAAGCUGUGCGAGUUACUCGCAUCUAACUCCUGAUCCCUUGAAAGAUCAGGCGGGGUUCGGAGGCACCUGGCAACAGAAGCCUCCACU
RNAcentral lists this transfer-messenger RNA (365 nucleotides) under Robiginitomaculum sp. It matches the Rfam family "Alphaproteobacteria transfer-messenger RNA". Rfam says of the family: Bacterial tmRNA, also known as 10Sa RNA or SsrA, is named for its dual tRNA and mRNA-like properties. Its role is to liberate the mRNA from a stalled ribosome. The record is from RNAcentral. Lineage: Bacteria; Pseudomonadati; Pseudomonadota; Alphaproteobacteria; Maricaulales; Robiginitomaculaceae.